Molecule: ribosomal RNA, 486 nt
Filed under: uncultured bacterium
Lineage: Bacteria
Description: bacterial SSU rRNA
Rfam family: Bacterial small subunit ribosomal RNA
Source: RNAcentral
AGGACGAACGGCUGGCGGCGUGCCUAACACAUGCAAGUCGAGCGGGGACUUGUUGAGGAAGUCUUCGGAUGGAAUCGAUAAGUUCUAGCGGCGGACGGGUGAGUAACGCGUGAGCAACCUGCCCUCCACAGGGGGAUAACGCACCGAAAGGUGCACUAAUACCGCAUAAGACCACGUUUCUGACAUGGGAAUGAGGUCAAAGGAGCAAUCCGGUGGAAGAUGGGCUCGCGUCUGAUUAGCUAGUUGGUGAGGUAACGGCCCACCAAGGCGACGAUCAGUAGCCGACCUGAGAGGGUGAUCGGCCACAUUGGAACUGAGAGACGGUCCAAACUCCUACGGGAGGCAGCAGUGGGGAAUAUUGGGCAAUGGGCGAAAGCCUGACCCAGCAACGCCGCGUGAAGGAAGAAGGUUUUCGGAUCGUAAACUUCUAUCCUUGGUGAAGAUAAUGACGGUAGCCAAGAAGGAAGCCCCGGCUAACUACGUGCC